GGUUGGUUAGUGUAGCGGUUAUCACUCCGGAUUCUGAUUUCCUGGAUGAUCACAUUCCGGCAACCUGGGUUCGAAUCCCAGAUCGACCU
This is a non-coding RNA of Tulasnella sp. 403, 89 nucleotides long. NCBI's taxonomy places the organism in Eukaryota, Fungi, Basidiomycota, Agaricomycetes, Cantharellales, Tulasnellaceae. The record is from the annotation of a GenBank genome assembly.